RNAcentral lists this ribosomal RNA (99 nucleotides) under uncultured bacterium. RNAcentral's name for it is "partial 16S ribosomal RNA". It matches the Rfam family "Bacterial small subunit ribosomal RNA", at positions 1384 to 1482 of the family's 1533-position model. The record is from RNAcentral.
UACACACCGCCCGUCACACCAUGGGAGUGGGUUGCACCAGAAGUAGCUAGUCUAACCGCAAGGGGGACGGUUACCACGGCGUGAUUCAUGACUGGGGUG